GCACAUACGAGGCUCUCCUGUUCAUAUUGAGCUCCGGUGCAGGCCUCACUGAUCGAUCCCCUCCACUGAUUGGCACAGCAGACUCACCAAACUCUGCGGCCAAGAUGCACUGCACCAUCAUGUUCACAUCUAGCUAGAUUUGUAUCACCUUGGAGAGGUCAUGGGAGGACAUGCUUCAAAUUUCUAUGCUAACAACAUGCAAACACUUAACGUAUAUCCCCGAUCUGGUAGCCAUGCCAACGCAAAAGGAAAAGAAACACCGGGAGUUAAGUGGGCAUGCUAGGCUGGAUAUUCCCUUCAUCCCUACUCACUUAACGCCCCCUCCGAUUCUACCUCUCCAUUCUAAAAGAGGGGGGUGAAAGAGGUCUUCACACAGCAUAUGAAAUGAAGAGGACCCAUUAGUGCAGAGGCCUACAGGGCUGAAUACCAGAGGAACGGCCUGACUGGAAAAGCAAAAUUCCAUAAUGGCCUUAUUUCCUAACAAUCUAAAAUAAUCUCUUAAUUGCCUACAAACAUGAGAGUUAGGUUACACCAGAAACACGAAUAUUGAUCGAAAUGGACUGCAUACUGAAAACACAAAGCGAAAAUCAUGCUGUGAAGUAACAUUUAACAUUUUCAAAGCUCAGGCUGAUGGUAAAAAGCUGGCAUUUGCACAAAUAAAUAUAUAACCAUUGAUGGACAAGUGUAUAAAUAAUGAAGUGACGAAAAACUGUUUAGCGUGCUGCUUUAAGAGGAUGACUUGGACAAAGAUCUAUCCACCCAAGAUAAAACAGGCUGAAAUGUGAAGUGAUGCAUUUGGAGAUUGAGAAUCAUGUCUUUCCUCUUUUGUGAUAACAACAUUUAGAAUUAUCACUGGCUAACUGUUGCGCUGGAGAAUAGUGCAUUGACUUCUAUUGACAAGCUUUGUCAUGUCUCUUGCUCUCUCUCUUCCCUUCUCUCUCUACUCCUCUCUCCAAUCCUCACUUUAUUCCUGUCUC
Esox lucius (northern pike) is the source of this 977-nucleotide long non-coding RNA. RefSeq lists it as uncharacterized. The transcript has 3 exons. The record is from RefSeq and is a predicted model, not a curated record. Lineage: Eukaryota; Metazoa; Chordata; Actinopteri; Esociformes; Esocidae.